UCAGUAACACAUGAUCAACUUGCCCUAUAGAGAAAAAUAACCUCGGGAAACUGAGGAUAAUGUUUCAUAGCUGAAUUGGCUUGGAAAAGUUUUUCAGUAAAAGGGAUAAAAAAAAUGGUUUUUAUUCGCUAUAGGAUAGGAUCGUGUUCGAUUAUGGUUGUUGGUGAGGUAAUGGCUCACCAAGCCGAUAAUCGAUAGGGGUCGUGAGAGCGGGAGCCCCGAGAUGGGUACUGAGACAACGACCCAGGCCUUACGAGGCGCAGCAGGCGCGAAACCUCCGCAAUACACGAAAGUGUGACGGGGUUACCCAAAGUGUUCAACAUUGAACUGUGGUAGGUGAGUAAUGUUCCCUACUAGAAAGGAGAGGGCAAGGCUGGUGCCAGCCGCCGCGGUAAAACCAGCUCUUCAAGUGGUCGGGAUAAUUAUUGGGCUUAAAGUGUCCGUAGCCGGUUUAGUAAGUUCCUGGUAAAAUCGGGUAGCUUAACUAUCUAUAUGCUAGGAAUACUGCUAUACUAGAGGGCGGGAGAGGUCUGAGGUACUACAGGGGUAGGGGUGAAAUCUUAUAAUCCUUGUAGGACCACCAGUGGCGAAGGCGUCAGACUGGAACGCGCCUGACGGUGAGGGACGAAAGCCAGGGGAGCGAACCGGAUUAGAUACCCGGGUAGUCCUGGCCGUAAACGAUGCAUACUAGGUGAUGGCACGGCCAUGAGCCGUGUCAGUGCCGUAGGGAAACCGUUAAGUGUGCCGCCUGGGAAGUACGGUCGCAAGGCUAAAACUUAAAGG
Molecule: ribosomal RNA, 783 nt
Filed under: uncultured archaeon
Lineage: Archaea
Description: bacterial SSU rRNA
Rfam family: Archaeal small subunit ribosomal RNA
Source: RNAcentral